RNAcentral lists this long non-coding RNA (402 nucleotides) under Elaeis guineensis (African oil palm). RNAcentral's name for it is "long non-coding RNA (EGUI_LNC000597)". The record is from RNAcentral. Lineage: Eukaryota; Viridiplantae; Streptophyta; Magnoliopsida; Arecales; Arecaceae.
CAAGCUACAGGACUCCAAAUUGAGCAAGAUUAGAUCCUACGGAAUUUUGAGAGAAGCAAGAAAGGAACAUAAUUUAUAGAAUUAAAUUUGGAUUCCAGAUGAGGUGGCUACAGUAGGUUGAAGUUGGUAACAAUGUUGGACACAACAAGAAACACCCAAUACACUCAGAUUCUUCUUAGUGUUUCUUGGCACAAAGAUCUGAUAUGGCAACCAAUUUUGGGUGGCAAAGAGCUAUCUUGGAAAGAAUUAAAUAGAAGAAAAUUAGAGUCUAAACUAAUUCUGCAUGAGGAGCAAACUGAGAAAGAAUUGAAACUAAUUCUUGGAAAACUUGAUUUGGGCAGCCGAAACCUUACCUUGUUUUGCAGAUUUUGUGGAUCCAGAAAGGAAGAAAUUCUUCUCCUC